AGGAUGAACGCUGGCGGUCUGCUUAACACAUGCAAGUCGAACGGAGUAGAAAUACUUAGUGGCGGACGGGUGAGUAACGCGUGAGAAUCUACCUUCAGGACGGAGACAACAGUUGGAAACGACUGCUAACCCCCGAUGUACUGAAAAGGCAAAUAUUUAUAGCCUGAAGAAGAGCUCGCGUCCGAUUAGCUAGUUGGAGAGGUAAAAGCUCACCAAGGCGACGAUCGGUAGCUGGUCUGAGAGGACGAUCAGCCACACUGGGACUGAGACACGGCCCAGACUCCUACGGGAGGCAGCAGUGGGAAUAUUGCGCAAUGGGCGAAAGCCUGACGCAGCGACGCCGCGUGAGGGAUGAAGGCCUUCGGGUUGUAAACCUCUUUCAGCAGGGAAGAAGCGAAAGUGACGGUACCUGCAGAAGAAGCACCGGCCAACUACGUGCCAGCAGCCGC
This 449-nucleotide ribosomal RNA is filed under the name uncultured bacterium. RNAcentral describes it as "SSU rRNA". It matches the Rfam family "Bacterial small subunit ribosomal RNA", at positions 26 to 518 of the family's 1533-position model. The record is from RNAcentral.